UGGAAUAUCCUUUUUUUGGUG
RNAcentral lists this non-coding RNA (21 nucleotides) under Caenorhabditis elegans. The record is from RNAcentral. Lineage: Eukaryota; Metazoa; Nematoda; Chromadorea; Rhabditida; Rhabditidae.